RNAcentral lists this ribosomal RNA (492 nucleotides) under uncultured bacterium. Its description in RNAcentral is "partial 16S ribosomal RNA". It matches the Rfam family "Bacterial small subunit ribosomal RNA", at positions 29 to 507 of the family's 1533-position model. The record is from RNAcentral.
AGUGAACGCUGGCGGUAGGCCUAACACAUGCAAGUCGAACGGCAGCACAGUAAGAGCUUGCUCUUACGGGUGGCGAGUGGCGGACGGGUGAGGAAUACAUCGGAAUCUACUUUUUCGUGGGGGAUAACGUAGGGAAACGUACGCUAAUACCGCAUACGACCUACGGGUGAAGGCAGGGGAUCUUCGGACCUUGCGCGAUUGAAUGAGCCGAUGUCGGAUUAGCUAGUUGGCGGGGUAAAGGCCCACCAAGGCGACGAUCCGUAGCUGGUCUGAGAGGAUGAUAAGCCACACUGGAACUGAGACACGGUCCAGACUCCUACGGGAGGCAGCAGUGGGGAAUAUUGGACAAUGGGCGCAAGCCUGAUCCAGCCAUACCGCGUGGGUGAAGAAGGCCUUCGGGUUGUAAAGCCCUUUUGUUGGGAAAGAAAAGCAGCAGGUUAAUACCCCGCUGUUCUGACGGUACCCAAAGAAUAAGCACCGGCUAACUUCGUG